Tupaia belangeri (northern tree shrew) is the source of this 60-nucleotide small nuclear RNA. Its record names the gene U7. It matches the Rfam family "U7 small nuclear RNA". Rfam says of the family: Animal histone pre-mRNAs are spliced by a different mechanism than nuclear pre-mRNAs and self-splicing introns. This processing involves the U7 snRNP, which contains only one RNA species: U7. NCBI's taxonomy places the organism in Eukaryota, Metazoa, Chordata, Mammalia, Scandentia, Tupaiidae. The record is from Ensembl.
GAGUGUUACAGCUCUUUUAGAAUUUGUCCAGCAGGUUUCUGGUUUUACCAGAAGGCUCCC